Molecule: ribosomal RNA, 253 nt
Filed under: uncultured bacterium
Lineage: Bacteria
Description: partial 16S ribosomal RNA
Rfam family: Bacterial small subunit ribosomal RNA
Source: RNAcentral
UACGUAGGACCCGAUCGUUGUCCGGAAUUACUGGGUGUAAAGGGCGUGUAGGUGGGUCUGUAAGUCGGUGGUGAAAUCCUGCGGCCCAACCGCAGAACUGCCAUCGUUACUGCAGAUCUUGAGUACGGCAGAGGGAGAUGGAAUUCAUGGUGUAGCGGUGAAAUGUGUAGAUAUCAUGAAGAACACCGGUUGCGAAGGCGGUCUCCUGGUCCGUUACUGACACUGAGGCGCGAAAGCGUGGGGAGCAAACAGG